GUGCUCGCUUUGGCAGCACGUAUAUUACAAUUGGGACGAUUCAGAGAUGAUUAGCAUGGCCCCUGCGCAAGGACAAAACACAAACUCAUGAAGUGUUACAUUUUUUU
This 107-nucleotide small nuclear RNA is filed under the name Dasypus novemcinctus (nine-banded armadillo). Lineage: Eukaryota; Metazoa; Chordata; Mammalia; Cingulata; Dasypodidae. The record is from RNAcentral.